CCCUUAGAUGUCCUGGGCCGCACGCGCGUUACACUGAUGCAUUCAACGAGUUUAUAACCUUGGCCGAGAGGCCUGGGCAAUCUUGUUAACGUGCAUCGUGGUAGGGAUAGAUUAUUGAAAUUAUUAAUCUUGAACGAGGAAUUCCUAGUAAACGCAGAUCAUCAAUCUGCAUUGAUUACGUCCCUGCCCUUUGUACACACCGCCCGUCGCACCUACCGAUUGGAUGGUCCGGUGAAUAAUUCGAACUGCGGCAUUGACCGGUUCCCGAUCGUUGCUGCGGAAAGUUUAGUGAACCUUAUCACUUAGAGGAAGGAGAAGUCGUAACA
Molecule: ribosomal RNA, 326 nt
Filed under: uncultured eukaryote
Lineage: Eukaryota
Description: partial 18S ribosomal RNA
Rfam family: Eukaryotic small subunit ribosomal RNA
Source: RNAcentral